Molecule: ribosomal RNA, 498 nt
Filed under: uncultured Planctomycetota bacterium
Lineage: Bacteria; Pseudomonadati; Planctomycetota
Description: bacterial SSU rRNA
Rfam family: Bacterial small subunit ribosomal RNA
Source: RNAcentral
UCGAGGAUCUUCGUCAAUGGGCGCAAGCCUGAACGAGCGACGCCGCGUGCGCGAUGAAGGCCUUCGGGUUGUAAAGCGCGAAAGUGGGGAUAAAGCCGAAAGGUUGAUAGAUCCACAGUAAGGACGGGCUAAGUUCGUGCCAGCAGCCGCGGUAAGACGAACUGUCCUAACGUUGUUCGGAAUCACUGGGCUUAAAGGGCGCGUAGGCGGUCCGACAAGUCAGGGGUGAAAUCCUGCAGCUUAACUGCAGAAGUGCCUUUGAUACUGUCGGUCUUGAGGGAAAUAGGGGUGUGCGGAACUUCCAGUGGAGCGGUGAAAUGCGUUGAUAUCAUGAAGAAUACCAGUUGCGAAGGCGGUCUCCUGGUCCGUUACUGACACUGAGGCGCGAAAGCGUGGGGAGCAAACAGGAUUAGAUACCCUGGUAGUCCACGCCUUAAACGAUGGGUACUAGGUGCUGGUCCCGUUCGGCACUCGCCACGGCGAGUGUGGAACGGGGUC